AUGUUCUCGUCGCAGUCACUCGGCCGCGUCAACAACAUUCGCACGACGCUGAUCAACGUGCAGAAGGGGAACCAAUCGGUGUCCUCCUUCUUCGCCGCCGUGAGAGGGCUCGCUGAUGAACUCGCCGCGGUGGGAAAACCAAUCUAAGACGACGAGCUCAUAUCCUACAUCAUCCACGGGCUGGACCAAGACUACCAGCCCCUCGUUUCCGCCCUGGACGCCCGUGUCACUCCGGUAACCCUUGAUGAGCUCUUCGCUAUGCUUAGCAAUUUUGAUCAGCGCAUGGCGCAGUUUCACGGCUCCGGCGGCGGCUUCAAGUCCUCGGCCAACUCUGUCUCCAGAGGCCGCGGUGGCGGCUCUCGCUCUCGUCCUUCCUCUCGUGGCAAGGGGAGGUUGGUGGCGGCAGCUCCUUCAACAACACUCGCGGCAGCGGACGCUCUGGCAGCUCAAAAGGGCGCCGCGGUGGCGGCUCCAACAGAUCGCGUCCGUACUUGCCUCGCUGCCAAAUUUGUGGCAAGCCCGGCCACACGGCGAGGGACUGUUGGUACCGCUACGAAGAUGAUGAUUGUGAUUCCUCGCAACACGAAGAAAAAAUUGCUACCGCUGCCGAUGAUUUCUACGGGGUCGACACAAAUUGGUACGUCGAUAGCGGAGCCGCCAACCACAUCACCAACGAGCUUGAGAAGGUCACCAUGA
RNAcentral lists this ribosomal RNA (696 nucleotides) under Triticum aestivum (bread wheat). RNAcentral describes it as "partial small subunit ribosomal RNA". Lineage: Eukaryota; Viridiplantae; Streptophyta; Magnoliopsida; Poales; Poaceae. The record is from RNAcentral.